AAGAGAGAGGGAGAGGCGGGAGCGAAAUCCGUCCCGUCCUAAUCCGCAUGAAUCCGGAUGGACGACGAACGUAAACAUUGAGCCGAACGGGAGUGGAGUGUUGACAGAGACUUAGCACCUUUAUCACCUGUUCCCAGCACUGCACCGAGUCACGCAGGUCCGCGUCCAUGCCAUCAAACGCCCACGUCCACGUACUCACAAGCCUGCGGGGGUGACUUGACAAAGGCUCUCUCUCUCCCACAGCCUCUCCCUUGGCCAAGUCAGCACCGAGGCAGAGUUGAUUGAUAUAUUGGUGUUGAAUUCAUAUGAUCGAAGCAGUGUUGGGGAAGAUGAGGAUUAUUCAUCAGGCGUGGCGUGUGCUGUCUGCAUUUCACCAUCCCAUGAACAGCCCACAGGAAUCUCAACCACAUCAGGCCUGACAUACUCAUUGCAAUUAGGGAGUCGAGUUUAACCAGGGAGAGGCCGAGUGUCACUACCUGUAAGCCUGACGAGGUGUUAAGGAGUUUAAUCAGGAAGUGAGGCUGAGUCUUGCUACCUGUAAGCCUGAUGAGGUGUGUUAAGUCAAGGAGUUUAAUCAGGAAGAGAGGCUGAGUCUUGCUACCUUUAAGCCUGACGAGAGGAGUCAAGGAGUUUUCAUUGCAAUCAAGGAAGAGUCAAGUUGUAAGAAGAUUGUAAGGCAAGAAUUUUAAGCAGGAAUAAUUGUCAAGCAGUUAACAGCAGGAAGAAUGCAGCGAGAAAAGGGUACAAGAGUUUUCAAGUUGUAAGAAGAUUGUAAGGCAAGAAUUUUAAGCAGGAAAAAGUAAGGUAAGAAUUUUAAGCAGGGAUAAUUGUCAAGCAGUUAACAGCAGGAAGAAUGCAGCGAGAAAAGGGUACAAGUUUUCAAGUUGUAACAAGAUUGUAAGGCAAGAAUUUUAAGCAGGAAAAAUAGUCAAGCAGUUUAGCAGCAGGAAGACUCCCUUCAAGCUGAGGUGGGAGUGACAAGCAUCCUUCAGGACUUGCAAAGGCUGAAGUCCUCAACACUAGUCUCACUCAAGUUGACACAAGAGCUCUCUGACACAAGGAAAACAAAUGACAUGUUUAUCAUCCUAUUGUGUAUUUAUUAAACUUUUAUGUGAUUAAACAAUAGUGAUUAAACAAUAUAUUGUACAUA
Molecule: long non-coding RNA, 1150 nt
Organism: Scylla paramamosain (green mud crab)
Lineage: Eukaryota; Metazoa; Arthropoda; Malacostraca; Decapoda; Portunidae
Exons: 3
Source: RefSeq, a predicted model, not a curated record